This is a small nucleolar RNA of Macaca fascicularis (crab-eating macaque), 128 nucleotides long. The record is from Ensembl. NCBI's taxonomy places the organism in Eukaryota, Metazoa, Chordata, Mammalia, Primates, Cercopithecidae.
UGCACUUAUGUUUGUUUUUGUUUAACUUGUGGACAAAGACUUACAGAUGGAUGUGAAAAAUAAAUCCUCUUUUGCGAACUGGAACUCAUUGUUCAGUAUGAGUUUUGAUACAUGUAAGAAGGAAUAUU